UUCAACGGCCGCGGUAUUUUAACCGUGCGAAGGUAGCGUAAUCACUUGUCUUUUAAAUAAAGACUAGUAUGAAUGGCACCACGAGAACUAAACUGUCUCCCCCAUCUAAUCAGUGAAACUGAUCUCCCCGUGCAGAAGCGGGGAUUAAACCAUAAGACGAGAAGACCCUGUGGAGCUUUAAAUCAAAAGUCAACUGCCCACCUAUUACCACAUAAUGGAAACACUAAGGCGGAUAUGAGCAAGAUUUUCAGCUGGGGCGCCUAUGGAGAAAAAAACAUCCUCCAUGAAGAACUACGCUAAGAGAAACCCCUCUAAGCAUUAAUAAACUUAGCUUAAAUUGACCCAAAUUUAUUGAUCAACGGACCAAGUUACCCCAGGGAUAACAGCGCAAUCCACUUUUAGAGUCCUUAUCGACAAGUGGGCUUACGACCUCGAUGUUGGAUCAGGGCACCCAAGUGGUGCAGCUACUACUAAAGGUUCGUUUGUUCAACGAUUAAAG
This 499-nucleotide ribosomal RNA is filed under the name Leptobrachella crocea. RNAcentral describes it as "Leptolalax croceus partial 16S ribosomal RNA". It matches the Rfam family "Bacterial large subunit ribosomal RNA", at positions 1923 to 2593 of the family's 2925-position model. Lineage: Eukaryota; Metazoa; Chordata; Amphibia; Anura; Megophryidae. The record is from RNAcentral.